This 923-nucleotide ribosomal RNA is filed under the name Ariamnes cylindrogaster. RNAcentral describes it as "SSU rRNA". It matches the Rfam family "Eukaryotic small subunit ribosomal RNA", at positions 14 to 936 of the family's 1831-position model. The record is from RNAcentral. Lineage: Eukaryota; Metazoa; Arthropoda; Arachnida; Araneae; Theridiidae.
CCGCAGUAGUCAUAUGCUUGUCUCAAAGAUUAAGCCAUGCAUGUCUAAGUACAUGCCGUAUUAAGGCGAAACCGCGAAUGGCUCAUUAAAUCAGUUAUGGUUCCUUGGAUCGUACCUUACUACUUGGAUAACUGUGGCAAUUCUAGAGCUAAUACAUGCAGCAGAGCUCCGACCUUCGGGGACGAGCGCUUUUAUUAGACCAAAACCAAUCGGUCCUCGUGGCCGUUGAACGUGGUGACUCUGUAUAACUUUUGGCUGAUCGCACGGGCUCGUCCCGGCGACGUAUCUUUCAAGUGUCUGCCUUAUCAACUGUCGAUGGUAUGUUACGUGCCUACCAUGGUCGUUACGGGUAACGGGGAAUCAGGGUUCGAUUCCGGAGAGGGAGCCUGAGAAACGGCUACCACAUCCAAGGAAGGCAGCAGGCGCGCAAAUUACCCACUCCCGGAACGGGGAGGUAGUGACGAAAAAUAACAAUACGGGACUCUUUUGAGACCCCGUAAUUGGAAUGAGUACACUCUAAAUCCUUUAACGAGGAUCCAUUGGAGGAUAAGUCUGGUGUCAGCACCCGCGGUAACUCCAGUUCCAAUAGCGUAUAUUAAAGUUGUUGCGGUUAAAAAGCUCGUAGUUGGAUCUCAGUUCCAGUCGGGUGGUCCGCCUACCGGUGGUCACUGCCUGUGCUGAACAACGACGCCGGUUUCCUUUGAUGAUCUUCAUCGGUUGUCUUUGGUGACCGGCAAGUUUACUUUGAAAAAAUUGGGGUGCUCAAAGCAGGCUGAAUGCCUGAAUAAUGGUGCAUGGAAUAAUGGAAUAGGACCUCUGUUCUAUUUUGUUGGUUUUCGGAUCACGAGGUAAUGAUUGAGAGGGACAGACGGGGGCAUUCGUACUGCGACGCUAGAGGUGAAAUUCUUGGACCGUCGCAUGAC